AAAAACUCUUUCAAACAAAUUUGCUCAAAGUCUCAGACAAAGCUGAAACAAAAUCUGCUCAAAUCUCCUUCAUUAAAUGAUGAACGACUAUUGUAUCGUUCAAAAUUCCACGCUCUUAAUUUCAAACAUUAGAGAUAAAAAUCUUGCCCAAAGAACUCUAGAAUCUGCCUAUAAAUACCAAGCCAUUGCAGUCAUUAAGGACAAGGUGGGAAAUCCCAAAAAAACUCAGUUCAUAUCAUACUCAGCUUUUUUUUAAUCUCAAUCUUACAAUCUGUGGAAAUUUUCUCAAUAUUUAGUCUCCAUUUUUGUAUUCUUGAUAAUUAAGGAGUAGUUGAUCUGAGCCCUCAAAGCCUACAGUUCGCUGCACACAAAAAAAUCACUAACUUUAAUGAUCUUUCCUCCUGUUCUCUUUCUUAGUUUCGGAUUCAAAGUUAAUAUUUGUUACGGCUGAAAAAUACGUGUUUCAGUUUUGUUCUAGAUGAAAGAAACAUUGUUGUAGAAUUCACCCAUGUAUAGAAAUCAUAUCCUUGAUAAGGGAGAAAUAGAAAACCUUUUAAUCUGAAUAAUUUAGCGAAUGUGAUAGUACUUAAGCUUAUUUUACUGCUCACUUAAGAGCAUGCAAAAGGAAAACUAUAUAUCAUGCUAGUGUCAUGAUUAUGUCUUUAGAAUGUUUGUUUGACUUCCCUUUAAGUAAUUAGAAUAAAUCCAGAUUAUCUUUUAAUAUUAUUUUAUGAAAAUAUUUGUUGUUAGGCAUAGUUAAGUAUGUGCUCUUUCAAUUUGCUACUUUGAGUGAUUAGAAAGAUAAUUCUUUAAGUUUCAAAUGGCAUAGAAUGGGCCAUCCUGAAUGCCUAUGGACAAUAAAAGAUAUGAAAUCGUUCCUGCUUUGGUAUCAAUUCUCCUAGCUGUGUCUCUUCAUAUCUUUUAUGAAUAGAAUAAUCCUUCUUUUUCUAAUUUUUCUUUUUUUUCCCUUUCUUUGCAUAUAUACUUGGAGCAAAAAAAUGGAGUCUCACUCGAGACUUAGUAAUACCCGAGCAUGAAAUCAUCACAUCCUAUAUCCUUUAACCGCAUCAGAAAAGAAGAAAACAAGCGAGAAAAUCGCAUGGGGGUGCCAAUGGUAUCUUUCCUCUAUUUUAUUUAUCAUUUGUUCUAUUUAACUCUUCUAUGAUUUCUAUGUUGAAAUUAACACUCAUAAUAAGAUUAUUAGUAAAAUUUUACUUAAUCACUUAGGGUCUUUCCUCUAUCUCAUGAUAGAAGUAAUUGUUUUAUCACAUAAAAUAAGACAUUUUGGUCUCAGCUAACUUCCUUCCUAAAAGCAACAUAGUUGUUCGAAUUUCUUCAAAUCUUGCUUUCAAAAAUUGUCACUUUUCAUGACAACUUUUUUAGUCAAACGUACUACCCCUUUUAUUAAUCUCCUUAAUUAUUAUUCUUACUCUCAGCUUUAAUUAAUUUUAGUCAGGUCGAUUAACCAUUUUAAAUGAAUUUUAAAGGGUGCCUUGAAAACCUUCCAUUUAGAUUAGUUGAACCCUUACCUUGGAAUCUCUAAAGUUUUGCAGUGUAAAUAUUAGUAAAAUAGGUAUCCUAAUUCACCGUUAAAAUAAUUAGGUGGCGACUCUAAUAAUGAAUUCAACCAUCAGAAUUAUCAAUAUAUUAUACUCUAGUUUGACCCGUGUUAAAAUGGGGUAUAACACGUAAAUGUCUACGACCGUCUCCAGUGUAUAAAUGGCUACGGCCAUUUUCAAUGCGCAAAUGGCUAAGGCCAUCGCCGCCAACAGUCAACCUAGUUCGACUACGACGAACAAAUGAUUCGACAACAGUCAGAAUCAACCAUAUGGCCAAUGCCAUCAACAAGUUAUAACCAAAGGUCAUCAACUUAACUCUGGGUAAGGCCAUCAACUUCACCAUGGCUAAGGCCAUCGCCGCCCGCAGUCGACCUAGUUCAACUACGGCGAGCAAAUAAUUCGACGACAGUCGAAAUCAACCAUAUGGCCAAGGCCAUCAACAAGUUAUGACCAAAGGUCAUCAACUUAACACUGGCCGAGGCCAUCCACUUCACCAUGGCUAAGGCCAUCGCCGCCCACAGUCGACUUAGUUCGACUACGGCGAGCAAAUAAUUCGACGACAGUCGAAAUCAACCAUAUGGCUAAGCCCAUCAACAAUUUAUGACCAAAGGUCAUCAACUAACUCUAGCCAAGGCAUCAACUUCACCAUGGCUAAGGCCAUCGCCGCCCACAGUCGACCUAGUUCGACUACGCCGAGCAAAUGAUUCGGCGACUGUCGAAAUCAACCAUAUGGCCAAGGCCAUCAACAAGUUAUGACCAAAGUUCAUCAACUUAACUCUGGCCAAGGCUAUCGACUUCAUCAUGGAUAAGGCCAUCGUCGCCCACAGCCGACCUAGUUCAACUAUUGCAAGCAAAUGAUUCGACGAUAGUCGAAAUAAACCAUAUGGACAAGUCCAUCAACAAGUUAUGACCAAAGGUCAUCAACUUAACUCUGGACAAGGCCAUCAACUUCAUCACAGCUAAGGCCUAGUUUGAUUGUGGCAUUAAGCACGUGAACGUGAAGCAAAAACGCAAUAAAAUCCCAACAAAUAAAUGAGCGUCCGCUCUACGGAGACGAAACACAAAAAAGAAAGCAAGAAAGCAAAGGAAAAAGUAGCAGAAAAUUAUACUCCAUUAUCUCCAAAAUAUAUACAUGUACAUCUGAGCCUGAAAAGGGCCCCUGUUACAUACAAGAAAUAUACAUAUAUACACAAGCCCUAAGAGCCUUCGCCGCUUCGUCCACCAUGCGCUGUUUGCCUGCCAUUUGGUCUGUCAUCGCCCACAGGAGGGUAAGCCCUAGAAAUCCAAGAGCCAGACUCUAGACGAUUGACGUCUUCACAGUUACAGCCCGUCCUAUUGGGGGAAUCUAAGCAAUAAACACAAGUGGCAUGAGCGGUGCGGGCUAAGCGCUUCUGCUCCUCAACCUCCGCCUUAGUGGCUCGACCAACAGAGAAAACUUCCUCGAGCACGACUAGUGUAGCCUCGGCAUACACUCACAUUUUGUGCGUCUCAUGAUGCAUGUCCUCUUCGGGCUUUAAUGAGGCAGCCCGCUCAAGGGUCUCAACUUCAACCGCCUUGGCGCCAAGCUCAGCAAUUAAAGCAAUGACUCUGGCCUGCAACUGAUCCGCCUAUGCCGCUACUGUAAUGACCUGACCCGUAAUCCCAUGAAUUAUCGCUCGUUUUCCCCGUUUUAUGCUGUUAUAUGUUUCAAUAUAUGUAUUGGGAGAGUUUGAAGUAAUUCGGAUGGAGUUUGGAUAGAAAUGAGACAAUUAGUCUCUUUAUGAGAAGGUUAGUUGGAACUGCCUGUUUUCCCCGUUUUAUGUUGUUAUAUGUUUCAAUAUAUGUAUUGGGAGAGUUUGAAGUAAUUCGGAUGGAGUUUGGAUAGAAAUGAGACAAUUAGUCUUUUUAUGAGAAGGUUAUUUUGGAAACGUCAACCGAAAGUUGACUUAUGAAUUAGAUGGAUCGGAAUAGAUUUUCGAAGAUCCGACUAGUUUUGUACGGUGAUUUGUGACAUAGGAAUGAAAUCGGAACUGAAUUUGGAGGUCCGGUGUAGAAUUAGGCUUGAAUUGGCUAAGUUAGAAUAUCCGAUGAUUCAACUAGUUUCGGACGAUGAUUUAUGACUCAGGAGAGAAAUUAGAACUGAAUUUGGUGGUCCGGUGUAGAAUUAGACUUGAAUUGGCUAAGUUAGAAUUUUGGCGAAGUCUGGUUGAUAGGUGAUAUUUUGGUCCGGGAGUCGAAAUGAAAUUCCAACAGUUGCAGUAGCUCUGUUAGGUGAUUUUGGAUAUGCGUGCAAAUUUUGAGAUCAUUCGGAGGUAUUUAGGUCGGGUUUUGGACCAAAUGUAAGUUUCGAAAGUUUUAGUUUAACUUAAGCUUGAAUCCGUGAUAAUUUGAUGGUUUUAAUGUUUAUGAUAGUGUUUUUAUGCUAUGAGCAAGUUUGAAUGAAGUAAUAGAACAUAUCUGUGCAUUUGGUUGGGAUCCCGAGGGAAUCGAGGUGAUGUCGGAUGAUGAAAACGAGAAUUUUUGAAGUUGCGACAGGUAUGUUGUAUGCGGCUUCUGGUAUUUCCGCAAAAGCGGAAGAAGCACCGCACAAGCGGCUACCGCAACAGCGGUAAGAGACUGCAGAAGUGAUCAUAGACUGUUGAGGGAGACCGCAAAAGCGGUCAAUGGGAUCGCAUAGGCGGAGACCGCGAAAGCGGUUUAAGACCACAGAAGCGGUCCUAGUUGACUUAAAGGAAACUACAAAAGCGGUUUAUUGACCGCAAAAGCGGCAACGCAGAAGCGGUCUAGUGGUCGCAGAAGCGGUCUAGUGGUUGCAGAAGCGAAAAUUGCAUAGGGUUUUAAUAAAACAGUGUUUGCAAAUUUCAUAAGUUAAGAAAAUACUUUUGACUUCCGGAAGAGACGAUUUGUGGGCGAUCUUAAGAGGCUUUUGAGGGUUUCCUUCAGGUAAUGAUUCUUGGACUCGGAGUAUGCCUCUAUGGUGUAAAAUAGUAGAUUAAACAUUAAAAUUCAAGGUUUUUAAGGUUAAAAAUGGUGGUCAGGGCUUGAAACCUAAGAGAGAGUAAAGUGGUGAUUUAAGAGGGUAAACGAACUCCGUUUUUGAUAAACUUUAUAUGUACGGACUCGUGGUGAGACGAGGAAUCCAAAGAUGUAAUUUUCAGAAUUUUCGAGAAGUGGGCUCGGGGCUCAGAUUUUACCAACUUCGUGAUUUUUAGCGUUUUUCGAAUUAUUUCGAUUGGGUUAUGUUUAUUUAGCCUAUAAUAACCUAUUUGUUGUGGUUUUGACUAGAUUCGACGCUCGUAGAUGGAGUUUCAAAGGGAAAAGGCAUUGUUUCUGAAAUUGACUAAUUAAAUUAUAUUCACCCUAAUAAUUGGAAACUAGCAAAGAAUCAGAUUGAAUCUAUUAUGUGACUUACAUGCAUACUAUGGACUGAGGAUGGCUCGGGCUGCACGCCGCAGCGGUUAUACAUUGAUAUUGCGCUUGGGCUGAAGGAGCCCCUCUGGAGUCUGUACACACCCCCAGUGAGCGUCGUCGACAAUAAUUAAAUAUGGAUGACUCGGGCUGCACGCCGCAGCGUAUUCAUGUGCAUUGCAUUGCAUUUAUCUGAUACUUGAUUGCUAUUUUGAUAUUGUUUUGCUAUUAGUUCGUAGCUAAGGAAUAGGAUUGUUAGAUUUAGCUUUAUUUUGUGGCACUUCGUGGUUUUCUUACUUUCAGACAUUUUUCUAUGCUUAUUACUCACUUAGUCGGUAGUACUCACCCCUACUCCCUACAUCUUGUAUGCAGAUUCAGGUACAUCGGAGGCUUAGCUGACACUCAUAGUCUCCAGAGAUUUCUAAAAUCGUUGAUGUAGCUGCAUGACGUUCGCAGGACCUGGUUGCUCUUUAUUUUUCCAGUUUAUUAUUAUUUCAUACAUUCCAAAUCUUAUUAUUUCCAUUCAGAUAUUAUUAUCUAGUUUUGUUUAGAGGCUGCUGACUCGUGACCCCAGAUCUGUGGGAGUGAUUAUUCAGAUUUCGUAAUAUACUAUUAUUAUUAUCUGAUUACUAUUCUGAAUUACUAUAAUAUUCUUAAACUGUCGGUUUUAAGACUCAGUAUUUAAUAGUAAGUGAUUGUUGGUCAGCCUUACCUAGCUUUAGGGAUGUGUGCCAUCAUGACCGGGUUUGGGUCUUGACAGCUACCCAACGACUUAUCUUCAGUUCCUCCUCUUUUGACUGAAGGGGAGUUUCCAGCUCGAUGUUUCGAGCCAAAGUAGCCAUCAGCUGCUCAUCAACCUCCUCCAACUCGGCCACCCCUCUUUACUAGAGCUUCCGAUUCUUCAAGACCCUCACGGAACAUCCAAAACUAAG
RNAcentral lists this long non-coding RNA (5878 nucleotides) under Nicotiana benthamiana. RNAcentral describes it as "long non-coding RNA (NBEN_LNC037755)". Lineage: Eukaryota; Viridiplantae; Streptophyta; Magnoliopsida; Solanales; Solanaceae. The record is from RNAcentral.